AUGGCGUGGUGGAAGCUUUGCAUUCCUAAAUGUGAAGGAGGCAUGGGCUUUAGGGAAUUAUAUUCUUUCAACUUGGCAAUGCUCGCAAAACAGUGUUGGAGGUUGAUUACUGAUCCAAUGUCAUUAUGUGCAAGGGUAUUAAAGACGAAGUAUUACCCCAACGGGAGCUUGCUUGAUGCCACCCUGAAGAGCGGGGCGUCCUUUACAUGGCAAAGUAUACUGAAAGGAUUCGAAACUUUCAAAAAAUGCUAUAUUUGGAGGGUCGGAAUGGGUGAAGAUAUGAACAUAUGGAGUGACCCUUGGGUCCCUUCGAGCGCUGACAGGAAGAUAGUCAUCCCUAGAGGACAUACGAUUUUGACUAAAGUAUGUGAGUUGAUUAAUUCGGUGCAAGGAACGUGGGAUGAGAACUUGAUCCAGACUAUUUUCAAUCCUGUUGAUGUCAGAAGGAUCAUGCAGAUACCUCUAAACCAUAACGCUUUUGAGGACUUUAUUCCAUGGAAAAGGAAUAGAUAUGGAAUCUUCUUAGUUCGCACCACGUACCAUUUAUAA
RNAcentral lists this ribosomal RNA (549 nucleotides) under Triticum aestivum (bread wheat). RNAcentral's name for it is "partial small subunit ribosomal RNA". Lineage: Eukaryota; Viridiplantae; Streptophyta; Magnoliopsida; Poales; Poaceae. The record is from RNAcentral.